GCGAAAGUGGCGGAACUGGCAGACGCGCUGGACUUAGGAUCCAGUGCCGUAAGGCGUGGGGGUUCAACUCCCCCCUUUCGCACCA
Molecule: transfer RNA, 85 nt
Filed under: Magnetococcales bacterium
Lineage: Bacteria; Pseudomonadati; Pseudomonadota; Magnetococcia; Magnetococcales
Description: tRNA-Leu
Rfam family: tRNA
About the family: Transfer RNA (tRNA) molecules are approximately 80 nucleotides in length. Their secondary structure includes four short double-helical elements and three loops (D, anti-codon, and T loops). Further hydrogen bonds mediate the characteristic L-shaped molecular structure. tRNAs have two regions of fundamental functional importance: the anti-codon, which is responsible for specific mRNA codon recognition, and the 3' end, to which the tRNAs corresponding amino acid is attached (by aminoacyl-tRNA synthetases). tRNAs cope with the degeneracy of the genetic code in two manners: having more than one tRNA (with a specific anti-codon) for a particular amino acid; and 'wobble' base-pairing, i.e. permitting non-standard base-pairing at the 3rd anti-codon position.
Source: RNAcentral